CAGUCAAACUCCGAAUGCCAAAGUGUAUAAAUAUAGCAGUGAGCCUAUGGGGGAUAAGCUCCAUAGACGAGAGGGAAACAACCCAGAUCAUCAGCUAAGGCCCCUAAAUGUAUGUUAAGUGUGAAACGAUGUGAGAGUGUUCAGACAGCCAGGAGGUUGGCUUAGAAGCAGCCAUUCCUUUAAAGAGUGCGUAACAGCUCACUGGUCGAAUGUUCUCGCGCGGAAGAUGUAACGGGGCUAAACAUACUGCCGAAGCUAUGGGAUCUUACUAAUCUUGAUAUUUAUAUCCAGGAGGUAAGAUCGGUAGGAGAGCGUUGUAUGGACAGCGAAGUAACAACGUGAGUUAGUUAUGGAGACCAUACAAGUGAGAAUGUUGGCAUGAGUAGCGAAGGAAGAGUGAGAAUCUCUUCCGCCGAAUGUCCAAGGGUUCCUGGGGAAGGUUCGUCCGCCCAGGGUUAGUCGGGACCUAAGACGAGGUCGAGAGACGUAGCCGAUGGAUAACAGAUUGAUAUUUCUGUACCACUAAUAAGACACCCAAACCGAAUAUAUGUUGCUAAGGAAAGCCCUUCGGGGCCUACCGAACCACAUAUUUUUAGGUUAGCAAAGGAGUGACGGAGAAGGAUAGGUGAACCCAGGCGAUGGUUGUCCUGGGGUAAAUGUGUAGGAUGGUUAAUAGGCAAAUCCGUUAACCUUAUAUCUGAGACAUGAUGCCGAGCCGCUUUUAGGCGAAGUCAUUAAUUCCAUGCUUCCAAGAAAAACUUCUAGUUAGUUUUAAUAGUGCCCGUACCCGAAACCGACACAGGUGGACAAGUAGAGAAUACUAAGGCGAGCGAGACAACUCUGGUUAAGGAACUCGGCAAAAUAGUUCCGUAACUUCGGAAGAAGGAACGCCCAAGUAAAGUGAAUGAUUAACUUCAUUAGCUUGAAAGGGCCGCAGUGAUCAGACUCAAGCGACUGUUUAUCAAAAACACAGGAGGGUGCAAAGUUCUAAUACAACGUAUACCCUCUGACACCUGCCCGGUGCUGGAAGGUUAAGUGGAUAGGUUAGCUUCGGCGAAGCUUUGAAGUUAAGCCCCAGUAAACGGCGGCCGUAACUAUAACGGUCCUAAGGUAGCGAAAUUCCUUGUCGGGUAAGUUCCGACCUGCACGAAUGGUGUAACGAUUUGAGUACUGUCUCAACCAGAGACUCGGCGAAAUUGCAAUGUGAGUAAAGAUGCUCACUAUGCGCGACAGGACGGAAAGACCCCGGAACCUUUACUGCAACUUGAUAUUGAUGUUUAAUGUGCAGUAUGCAGGAUAAGUGGGAGACUUUGAUUUAGAUGC
Molecule: ribosomal RNA, 1323 nt
Filed under: marine metagenome
Description: bacterial LSU rRNA
Rfam family: Bacterial large subunit ribosomal RNA
Source: RNAcentral